Molecule: ribosomal RNA, 405 nt
Filed under: uncultured eukaryote
Lineage: Eukaryota
Description: SSU rRNA
Rfam family: Eukaryotic small subunit ribosomal RNA
Source: RNAcentral
AGCUCCAAUAGCGUAUAUUAAAGUUGUUGCGGUUAAAAAGCUCGUAGUUGGAUUUCUGCCGAGGACGACCGGUCCGCCCUCCGGGUGAGCAUCUGGCUCGGCCUUGACAUCUUCUUGGUGAACGUAGCUGCACUUGACUGUGUGGUGCGGUACCCAGGACUUUUACUUUGAGGAAAUUAGAGUGUUUCAAGCAGGCAUACGCCUUGAAUACAUUAGCAUGGAAUAAUAGCAUUGGACCUCGAUUCUAAGCUGUUGGUUGCCAGAAGCGAGGUAAUGAUGAAGAGGGAUAGUUGGGGGGCAUUCGUAUUUAACUGUCAGAGGUGAAAUUCUUGGAUUUGUUAAAGACGAACUACUGCGAAAGCAUCUGCCAUGGAUGUUUUCAUUGAUCAAAGAACGAAAGUAGAC